RNAcentral lists this ribosomal RNA (250 nucleotides) under uncultured bacterium. RNAcentral describes it as "partial 16S ribosomal RNA". It matches the Rfam family "Bacterial small subunit ribosomal RNA", at positions 524 to 773 of the family's 1533-position model. The record is from RNAcentral.
UACGUAGGAUGCGAGCGUUAUCCGGAAUCACUGGGCGUAAAGCGUCCGUAGGUGGGAAUGUAAGUCUUUUAUCAAAUUCUGAUGCUCAACAUCGGGCCGGUAGAAGAAACUGCAUUUCUAGAGGAUGGGAGAGGCUAGUGGAAUUCUCGGUGUAGGGGUAAAAUCCGUAGAUAUCGAGAGGAACACCAAAAGCGAAGGCAGCUAGCUGGAACAUUCCUGACACUAAAGGACGAAAGCGUGGGGAGCGAAA